Panicum virgatum (switchgrass) is the source of this 3683-nucleotide RNA transcript. It is a transcript of the gene named cilia- and flagella-associated protein 298-like, with no coding region annotated. The record is from RefSeq and is a predicted model, not a curated record. Lineage: Eukaryota; Viridiplantae; Streptophyta; Magnoliopsida; Poales; Poaceae. The transcript is spliced from 7 exons.
GCGCUCCUCUUCCCCCUUCCUGGUCCCACCGCACCGUGCGAGCUCCCCGUCUCGUGCGGCCGGCGUCUCCCGAGCGAGCGGAAGCUUCUAGAACCUUCGCGGCGGCACGCGCGAGAUGGUGAUGCUGCACGUGAAGUCGGCGGCGGCGGCGGCGGCGGCCACCUCCUCCUCCUCCUCGUCGGACGCGGACGAGGAAACGGAGUUCCUGUACGAGUGCGCGGCCUCCGCGGCCGUCGCCGACGUGGCAGCCGCGCUCGGCGUGCUCGCCGGCCUCCAGGCCCGCCUCCUCUCCCUCUGCCGUCGCCUCCGAGCGAGGUGCGCGGAUGCCGGUGCGGCUGCGGUGGGCGAGCUCGAGAGGGCGAUAGACGAGGCCGAGGCCGAGGCCUACGCCUCCAAGGAGCAAGUGCAGCACAACAGAUUCCUGUCCCCUUGUGCUCUAAGGGAACAUAUCAAGACCAUUGAGGAGAAAUGUGCUACUGCUCUACAAGAACCUACAGAGGCAUUGGAUCUGCAAGAAUCAUCAUCAGACAGCAAGCAUGAGAGGAUACAGCUUUGGUGGGCUGGAAAAGAGCUAGCCAUGGACCACAAGCUAUGCGACUAUAUUGGUAUUAAUGAGAAAACAAAGAUUGUCAUCAAGCUAACGCGAGCCCGUGAUGACCGCUGAUUGUGCUUCUGCCCCUUCAAUGCAAUCACAGUGUUUGUUACGUCUUGGAUAUUAUAUGGAAGCUGUCCAUAAGGAAAAUCUGUCUGGAUGGCCAGCUUGGAGUAGAGUGCUUUGAGUUCCUGCAGCAGAUCAUCCAGCUUCACACUGUGAAAACCUGCACGUGGCAUGUGGUCGGGUCGGCAGCUGAAAGGAAUUCUUGGUGCUUUGGUUGAAGAACCAGCAAAUGUUCUCCGAGGGAACCAACGCUGUUCAUGGUGUCAUCGCGAGUUCAGGAACCGGCCAAGCAGUGGUUUUGGCAUGUCUCACCAAGGAUAAACCCUGUCCCGGUUACUUUAAACUAGCUACUGUUGAGUUUUGGAGCCACCUCCCAACAAAAUUUUAUCAAAUAUUCUUAUGUUUGGCAGCUUGGAUCCAGGAAUCAAACAAGCGAUGAAGUUGGUGCCUCCUGCCUGCAAACUAGAGGCAGAUGGUUUGCUCCAUUCCGUCCAUCCAUCUGGUGCUACUGUUGCUCAAGCCUGUGGGCUGUGGCUGUGGCUUUUUUAACAGCAGCCACAACCACAAGAAUGGAUGGUGAAGGAAUCUCUGUGCGUUUGUUUUCUGACGGAACCCUCUCUGUGGCUCUUAUCUGUGCCCGUGCUCAUGAUCUGGGGGCCUCUUGUGCUUGUUGGAUUGCAUGACCCAUCCCAAUCAGAUCAGAAGACAAGCCAUGGUGGGGGGAGGAGAGCUGAGAACUGGCGAUCAUUCAGCUCAAAGGUGCUCGCCUUUUCAGUGCCCAACGCAACUCGGCUUGCAGCUGUUCCAGGCACACCCCACAACCACAAAUACAAAAAGGUGCAUCUCCAAUUCACAAGCAGUGGUAAAUCUAACAAUUGCACAUACAUUCAAAUGGUUUGCCUUCUUUCAAAAAGGAAAAGGAAAACAUUCAAAUGCCAGAAUGGCAUUCCUAAUCUAUUCCAGAUUUCUUUCAAAAAAUCUAUUCCGGAUUUGCCUAUCACUGAUGUGCUUUUGCUGAUCUGGUUGCGGACACAUCAUUUGGAUGAUCUGAUGGGACCGUAAUCUUGUCCGGCAGAGUUCCUGGAAAGCAUUAAGCAUCAUGUUGGCAAAAGCCCAAGCAUCCGCAAACGAUUUCAUGGACUGUCCAAAGCUUCGUUUCGAAGCCAAGGGAACGGGGAGAUCAUCUCAGAGGUGCGCCGUAGCGUGGAAGAAGAUGGCAUAGUUGGUAGUGUUACGUGCAGAGAGCUCUGCUUUUGUUUGGCUUGGAGACCUGGAGUGGUCUACACUCUACAGAGGUAGGUGGAGGCUCUGGAUCCCAUUCACUACAACAAUCAGACUGAUUUGUACGCAGAAGUAUGGUAUGGUCAAGCGGCGUACUUGGGGGUGGAAUCAAAUCUGCCACCAAGUCAGUGCCACCCUUGCACCAUUUACUCGCCUACUGUGCCCUACCCUACCUCCCCAAACAAAGGAGUGAGAGCACGAGCAGCAGCAGAAGCUUUGAGAGAGAUGCAAAAGAAUGGAGCAGGGAGCAGUGGAGGAGAAAAAGGAAACGAACCGCCAAGAUCCACAGCUCAAAUGAAGAAAUUCUUUGCUCCAAGAAGAUCACAAAGAAUUUGACAGGAGGGAAAAGAAUCACGGUACAUUGCGUCCUCAACAGCAAUCCACGGCACAUUGCUCAUCUUCACAAGCAAAAGAAACAAAAGAAUGUUGCUUUGAUCCAUGGCACCGAUGCCAACCCCAUCGGCAUCAGCCCCUGCACAUCUCCUGCCUCUCCUGCGCAACCUCGCCGGCGGCUACGGAGGAGGCCCUGGGAGUAUUCGUCACCGAGUAGAACAUGACGUCGCUCACGCUCCUCCGCGCCGAGACCACCAUCCCCGGCUGCAGCAGCUGGGACCGCUUGCAGUGUGCGAUGGCGCCCUGGAUGGCGCCUUCCUCCGACCCGGCGCUGCUGCUCCGCUUCAGCACCGGCGUCGCCGCCGGCGGCCGGAAGAAGAACCCGUUCGCGUUGCCGCAGGACGGCGUCGAUGAAGAAGACGAGGACGACGAGGAGCACAGCGGCGAGGUUCCCGGCGCCUUGGUCGCCACCAGCCGCACCCGCCGGAUGAUGCCGGAGAAGGACUUGCGGUGGUGGCACACCUCCUCCUGAUCCAGGACACUGCCCCUCGCGCUGACGCUGCCGAUGCCAUUGCCAUUGGCCGUGCCGUCGACGACGAUGUCGCUCGGCGUCGGCCUGGCCAGGAAGAAGGACCUAAUGUACUCCUUCGACGCCCACCGCUUCACCACCUUGAGCUUCUUGGCCCAAGACGGCCUCUUGGCAGCGCACGCCUUGCCGGCCGCGGCGGCGUCUCCCCCGUCCGCCGCCGCAUCCGACGCCGCUUCCCUCUUAUCGACCCCUUGCAGCGCCUGCACCGGCUGCUGCUCCUGGAGCAGCCUCUGCACGAGCUGCAGCCGCGGCGGCGGGUGGAGCGGCAGCAGGUUGCCCUUGUAGAACAGCUCGUCCGCCGGGGACGCGAACGCCGGCUCCCUGUGCUUGGCGCCGCCGGCUGCGGUGCUCUGGAACUCGAAGCGUGGCGAGGAGGGCGGCAUCGGCGUGGCGGCCGGGGUGAGGUCCAUGUCGAUGUAGUCGUCCUGGAUCACCAUUGUGGGCGGCCUCGCCAUUGCUGCUGGAAUGGCAGUGCCAGCUUUGGAGCUUGGUGUUUGGGAGGGAGGAGAGGUGGGAUUUGGAAUUUUGGAGGGAUGAAGCAGACAAUGAGGUGUGGUAGAUGGGUCUUCACUCUUCAGAGAGAUGGUUUAUAGGGUUUUGGGCUGCUGUGUGCUUGUGCAGUGAGUGUGACAGUUUGUGUUGUUGGGCAGGGGAAUGGAGAUAUGGAAACAAGCAAGUGCAAAUGCAGGGUGGUUAUAGUUAUACGGUGAUAUUGCAAGAGAGGAAUGUGUGGUGUGAGAGGCUCUGCUCUGUCUCUCUUGCAAGUUAUACUGAAACAGAAAUGGCUGUGAUUAUUAUAAAAAAAAAAGAAAUGGCUGUGAU